This 30-nucleotide small RNA is filed under the name Bombyx mori (domestic silkworm). RNAcentral describes it as "ovarian small RNA-10664". Lineage: Eukaryota; Metazoa; Arthropoda; Insecta; Lepidoptera; Bombycidae. The record is from RNAcentral.
AAGGUGAUACCAGGCCGCAGCUGCGUAUGU